GGGCAGGUUGUACAGCGGAGUCAUCCUGAAGCAGGCCACCACCGCACGCCGUCUCUGCUUGGACAGCAGUUUGUGCCAAACCAUCUUUUUGGAUUUGAACGGAUGCUCGGUCUGACAGAGAGACAGAAAGACAGCUUUACUUCAUUCUAGUUCUUUCUGCACGGUCAUGUUGGGCUUACCGUGUCCGUAAGUGGAGUUACUCACCACCUCGAUGUGGUAAAGCACUGCUGAAACCUCCUGUACUCUUUUCACCACUUUCUCUGGAGCGUCGGCAUCCUCCGCCUUUCCUGCCAUCAUCUUAUACAGAGCCAUCUGCCAACGCAUGGAGGGAUUCUCCACCUGAGAGACAGAGAGAGAUUUAGAGACAGAGACUUGACUUUUACAAUCUUUUAUACAGUGAGAGAGACAGAGAGAGAGAGACAGAGAGACAUUGUGAGACAGAGAGAGAGAGAGAGAUUGUGAGACAGAGAGAGAGAGAGAUUGUGAGACACAGAGAGAGAUUGUGAGACAGAGAGAGAAAGAGAUUAGAUGUGAGACAGAGAGAGAGAUUGUGAGACAGAGAGAGAUUGUGAGACAGAGAGAGAGAUUGUGAGACAGAGAGAGAGAGAUUGUGAGACAGAGAGAGAGAUUGUGAGACGAGAGAGAGAGAUUGUGAGACAGAGAGAGAGAGAUUGUGAGACAGAGAGAGAGAUUGUGAGACAGAGAGAGAGAGAUUGUGAGACAGAGAGAGAGAUUGUGAGACAGAGAGAGAGAGAUUGUGAGACAGAGCAGAACAAAAAGAAUUUUACAGAAAUAAAGAGAGAGAGAGAGAGACAGAAAGGAAGGCGACGCGGUCACCUUUCCCUGAAGAUGCAGGUUGUUCUGUAGGAACUCUCUCACCUCUUCAUCCGUGUCUUUCUGUUAAUAGAAGCACACGAGCAGGUUAUUGAUGUUUAUGACAGUGCAGGUUUUACACAGAGAAGAACACAGAUCGUCGGGAGAGCGGACACACUGCAGUACACGGUGACAGACACACUUCUCAUCCUGCAGACUGAAGGAACACAGAGGAACAUUACUACAGGUGAACUGUCUGGUUUCUGUGGCGACUGUACCAGAGAGUAGCGGAACUUGGCGAGGUUAAUGAGCUCAUGAUCGGCCGGAGAGCACAUGUUGAGACCGAUAGGGAGCAUCUUCUUCAGAGCGGCCACGAUCAGAGAGGUCUGCACAGAGUAACGGUCCCCUCGCCUCUUCUUCUUAGUACGUUCUACAUCAGAGCCACCAGCCUGGGGCGAUAUUUUAAAAAAUAACAAUACAGGACAUAAAAGAGAACACAGAGAAGCAGAUUUUUUUCCUCAUGAAAAUGGGACAGAUCUCAAAGACUCGUGGCAAAAGACAUAAAAUCUCAGACUUGUACAGAGUCAUGGCACCAAAAAAAACCAAAAAAAAACUGCCUUUAAUAAAGCAAACUCAAAGCAGAACACAAUUCCAGAACUCAAACUUCUAAAUACUGGAGCAGUUUCAGCAGAUCUUCAGUCCAACACUUCCUGCCUCACACCUCAGAGCCACAACGCUACAGCUGACCUCAGACUUCUUAUAUAUGACUUUCGGAACAUUUUUCAUCAUUAAUUUACCAAUUAAUUCAUUCACUUCCUCUACACUAUCUCUACAAUACUAUAUUCUAAGCAGAGCUGGCACAGAGACGUUACCCAGGACUCAGAAUGGAGUAAUGGAGGAAAAAAACAAUGAAUUUUAUCCAGUAACAAAUGGAAAAGUUUGGAAUUGAAUUUAGAAUUUUUUUUUUGGUUACUGGAAACAUUAUAUAACAUAAAGACACUUGAUAGCAUUUCUUUUGUUAGGAUUGAUUUUAUUACAUUUACAUUUUGUACUUUAUUAUAUUUGCAACUGAACUGAUUUUGCUGUGUGUGAAAGUUAAGCAUUUCAGUGAAUAUUUCAUUUUAAAGCUUUAGUCGUUUAAAAAUAUACCAGAUGAAUUUGGGUGGGUAUGGAUAUGGACCGAUACUCAGACUUCUGCAUCAGUGUCGAAAUCAGAAGAGAGAAAGUGGCACUGUGCAGUCUCUAAUUCUAGUACAUACUAAGAAUGGAUAGAUACAGUGGCUGUAAAUAAUCUGUCACAAAUCUAAUAGUUGUGUCCUCAAAUGACAUAUCAUGCACUAUACACUUAAA
Molecule: long non-coding RNA, 2163 nt
Organism: Ictalurus punctatus (channel catfish)
Lineage: Eukaryota; Metazoa; Chordata; Actinopteri; Siluriformes; Ictaluridae
Source: Ensembl